Long non-coding RNA from Aethalodelphis obliquidens (Pacific white-sided dolphin), 2050 nucleotides. RefSeq lists it as uncharacterized. Lineage: Eukaryota; Metazoa; Chordata; Mammalia; Artiodactyla; Delphinidae. The transcript has 13 exons. The record is from RefSeq and is a predicted model, not a curated record.
AGGUGUCCACCUCCACCUGCAGCUCCUCGCACUUCUGCUGCCACUCAGCCAGCAUCUUGUCAAAGACCCGCUGCUUCUUGUCCAGGGCUGCGGCCGCGGCGUUGGCCUGGGGCCCGUCAAGCAGAGCGUUUGUGUCUCUAGUUUGUGAAGGAAGAAAGUUCAAAGGACUUGAGGGCAUUCGCCACAGAGCUGGGGAACUGGCCGAGGGGGGACCUCUGCCACGGAGCAUGGCCCGUGUCCUCUCAGCAUCACCGAGGGGCCUCACCCCAGUCCCACCAGGCCCAUGGAAGCUUCCUGAGCACUUCAGAGGCAGAGAAGCCCUGCCUGGAGGCAGAUCCCGCCCCCCCACCAUCCUGACUUCCCUGCAGGGAGCCUGAGCAUUUCUGGGCAGAAGAUGUAGCUCCUCGGUCCUCUGGAUGGCGUCCGUCUCAUAUUUGGUCCUCCAGGUGGUCACCUCAGUGUUGAGUUUGGACACAAGGCGCUGCAGCUCCGACUUGCCUCCCUGCUCCUCCUCCAGCUGCUCCUUCAGCAGGUCCAGGUCGUGCUUGGUGUUGGCAAGACUCACCACGGCCGUGCUGCGGGACUGUGGUGACCAGACCAGCCUGUCAGGGCCCCCCAGUCUCUGUGGCACCCAGGGCCGUCACUUAGAGGUACACGACGUUGGAUCAACAGUACAGCGGGGUCAUCAAGGGUUUUCUGGAAGGAAAGAUACACGCGUGUGUCCUGUGAGGCAGGCGGGAGCAGCUGAACAGAUCUGGUUCUCUGCCAUCACUUUCGAGCUGAGUUGAUGAUGUCAGUGAUCAGUUACAGAGCACCUGCUCCUGGGUGGUGGGUGAGGCCACGGCACACUGAUCACCCGUCAGCCACAGGGACGCUGGACAUCUGGCCUUGCUCUGGAUAAUGGGUGCCAUGAAGAAUAAUUCUGCAUUUCACACACUUGCUGUCCCAUUCAGCCAUUCACUGUCUGCUCCAAUGGGACUACAUUUAUCAAGAGUCAACCCCUGGAGACCGAGAACUGUAUUCAAGGUAUCGGGAAGACACCACUCACCUCUGUUUGAACUCUGGAUACUGCAGCCUGUUUGGGAAGCCCUUCCUGCAAAUACGGAUGCCUUCCAGGACUCCAUUGCAAGCCAGCUGGUGCAUGAUCAGCAGACUCCUGGAAGAAAGCAACGCUUGAUCCCAAAGCUCCAGCAUGAGGGCGUUUCAGGCUCUGUGACAGCUGGACGGGCAGGUAUUUGUAGGUAUUGCGGGACAGGCAGUCCACUGCCUGUUUUGGAGACUUUUCCAGGGAGGUAAGGCUGGUCCCUAUCGAAGACCCCUGGCUGCCUGGAUGAUAGCUUCUCUAUGACGGGCCUGAGGGUGAACCUUGGAGACAAGAGACUGCUUUCUCUGAAUGAAACCCCCUGCUGAAGCCUCAUAUGAAAAACAGGUCAAAGGAGAGGUGCCAUUGUCAUCACAGAGCAACCUGCAUGGAGCAACCAUGCUGAGUACUCACGUCUGUGACCUGCAGCUCCUCCCCGUCGUCCAUGUUAUCCACGGUGGUGACACCCUGGCUCACCCAGAAGUACUCCUUAGGGUUGGGGACCAGCAGAAGACUCUCUGCCAAGAACAGGAAAGCAGCCCCUCCAUCACUGUGUACCCGCAUCUCUGCAUUCAAGCACCUGGAUUUCAAUACUGAACUGGACUCUAGUUGAUAUAGACCCUGACGGAUAAAAAUCUCUGGGAAGGAGAUGCCAUGACUUGACUCAUCCCAUUGCGGCCCUAACCCAGAGAGCAGCUGUGCCCAGUCGGCCCUACCUUCCCAUCCGAGGACUGUUUGCCAGUUCCUCCGAUGUUGGCAAAGUACUGGAUGACCUUCUUCGUGUUCUCAGUCUUGCCUGCACCAGAUUCUCCACUGCAGGUGGAAAACGAGAGCAGAUGAGUGAAGGACAAAGAGGAGAUUGCCCGCAGGGAAGCAACACGAUGAAAGAUGGAAGUCACCAGGGACAUGAGACCAAAAUCCACAUGAAAAGAAAAUGUGGGGCUUCGCUGGUGGCGCAGUGGUUGAAAG